Molecule: long non-coding RNA, 9859 nt
Organism: Manis pentadactyla (Chinese pangolin)
Lineage: Eukaryota; Metazoa; Chordata; Mammalia; Pholidota; Manidae
Exons: 5
Source: RefSeq, a predicted model, not a curated record
AACUAACUGGCUUCCAUGGCCAACAGCCUACAGAAGGGCAGUGGUGGACCAGUGCACCUUUCUGUGGGCUCCCUGCACCUCAGUAUUGCCGAGAACAUACUCCAGGGCAUCUUUGAACCCUUUGGCAAAGUGGGUAGAAAAUGAAGGAAACCCCUGAUGGGAAUUGGAAAAUAUAGGGAGGAUUGAUAAUAUUAUCCUGAUGAAGGACUCGGGUACAGGCCACUCUAAAGGUUAUGGUUUCAUUACGACCAGAAUCUCUUUACGCCAUGCUGCUGUGGUGCUGCUGAUGAAGAGGACUAGAGAGCAGAGGCCCUCUGGCCAUCAGGUCACUGAGUUAGCAGCUCUGAUGUGGGGUGGGGUUGGGGGUGCAGCCUUGCUCUCAGCACCAGACGGUGUUCCCUCCGAAGGCUAGGCUCUGCAGUUCCAGACUCCCAGUUCUUAACUGUGAAAACUGAAGCUUACUAAUCCUGAGGGCUGAAGUAAAAGCCCAGGAGCCUUGGCUCUCAGGCUGUCUUUCUUCUGUUUUACAUGUUCGUUGGUGAAGCAGCCUGUCAGGCUAGGCAUCCUAUGAUAAGAGAUUUUUUGCAUUGUUAGGUCCUUGGUGGAGUUGGAAGAUAAAGUGAUUGCCAUUGACUCAGUUGGAAAACGUCCUUUUCAAACAACCAUUUUGCGGGGCUGGGGCUCUUAGGCCACAUUCCCUGGGAGGGAAAAGUUUGUGCUGUCAUGAACACGAACUUUUCCUGGGGUAAUAGGACUGGAAGUGUUAGUGAGACUUUGAAAUGUAUGUCUGUAGCCAGGAGGUGACUGAUAUGGCCUUGUACCUGGCAGGCCCUGAACAGGUCAAUGGCUUUGAACUUGCUGGUUGACUUGGGAGAGCUGGCCAUGUGACGGAGAGCUGGCCAUGUGACUAAGUGACUGGAUGAUGGCACAAACAUCACUUUUCCUGAUGGGGACCAGGAGCUGGAUCUGGGUUCAGCCAGUGGACGUUUGCAUCUCAUGGCCAAUUUGUCAGAAGGCUCUGGAAUCCAGCUACCAACCACAGCAGCUGCUGCUGCAGCCCAAGCUGCUGCUUUACAACUGAAUGAGGCAGUUCCCCUGGGGGCCCUGAACCCAGUGGCUUUGACUGGUGGACUUGGACUUGGGAAAGGGAGAGAAUGGUUGGGGUCUGGAAAGAAGGGAUGCUGUGUGCUCACCAAUUCACUUUGCCUCUCUGUCCCAGCUCUGAGUCUGGCCCUGAACCUUGCCUCCCAGGCGGUCGCAUCUCAGUGCUUCCAGCUUUCCAGCCUCUUUACCCCCCAAACCAUGUAAAUCAGUGGCACCAUACACUGCUUCCCUGUGCCUCCGGGUACUGCCCUUCUCUUUUCCCCAUCUGCCCUCCCACAGCCCCUUCUCUCCAUUUUGUGGACCAAGCCAUCCUGAGGGCAUGGACAUUGAUUGACUCUGGGGGAAAUCGGGGCCACCUUAGACACCAAGAAGAGCUCCUGCCUAUGGCCCCAUUGGGAAUGGAUCCUGCUGAGCAAAGCAACUAACACCUGCACUGAACACCUGUUUCUCCAUGUAUGUCAUCUGCUGGGGUGACCUUCCUUGGCCCUGCCAACCACCUCAGGGAUCCCUUGAUUCCUCCCCCAUUGGGAAGGCCGUAGGGCGUUAACUGAAGGCACUAACUGCUCUCCUUUUCCUAUACCUUUACAAUCUGUUGAGGAAAACCCUUAAGACCUCUAGUCCAAGAGGAGUUUGGGAUUUGGGGGGUGAACCUUGAAGGUGCUGGCUUGCUGCUGCCAGGGCACCGGAAGAUAGCAUGGACUUGUGUGUUGUGAAGCCUGUCUUAGACCUAAGCCUACCUUAGAACUACUGCUGUGGGCUCAGCAUCUUUUUGGGAAUGAUUUAUCCUGCCAGGCAUUUUGGAUGUCAUAGGGGGAUUAAGGAGUUUUGUGAAAGGUGGAGUACCUUUCCAUUAUCUGCCCUCUUUUUUGUAUAGUUGUCCUUCCUCCCAGGUCCGUCCUUUGGCCCAGUGUAGGAGGGUGGAGGAGAGGCUGCUACUCUGCUACUUCCCAUGUGCCUCUACCACGGGCUCAGCCCCAGCUGUUAAAGCUGCUCCUGUCCCCUACCUGGGCACGUGUGAGCCCUUCUCACUGGAUUUUAUACCCUGUGUCUGUGUAUGUAAAUGUGUAUGUGUUACACACAUACACACAUAGGCAUUAUGUAUUUGUGUAUAUAUACGUACAUAUAUGUAUGUACGUAUAUAUACUGUACGAAAGGCAAGCCCCACUUUGUGGCUGCUGCCCACAUGUGUGUCAGUUACUUGCUGUGUCUGUCACCUUCUCAUGAGCCAAAACCAUGAAUAGUUCUAGGGAUAUAAAACAUUUGUAAUGCCAUUGCAUUUUAUUUCAAUUCUGUUUCAUUUAGCCUUCUUUAGAAAGAAAAAUGGACAGACCUCUCAGCUGGGUGGAGCUCCCAUCUGGGUCUGCAUUCCAUGGUCUCGUCCUCCGUCUGUCUUCAUAACCUCCAAACCUUUGUGCCCACUGGACAAGCCUCCAGGCUCAUUGUGCCUAAGGACAGCUCUUGUCUUUCCACCAGAUGGCAGUGUGACAGUAGCACAUUCUGCACCUUCCUCCAGGGGUGUUUGAGUAUCUUGAGCUUAAGUACCAGUGAAGCCCCUAAACUCACCAUUCACCACUGGCCUCCAUACCCACCAUUGGCCCUCUGUAUAGUAGAAAUCCCAAUCCAAUAUCCAAAGGGGUCUGGGCACCACAUGGCAGGACUGCCCAGGCCUUAAGUCUGCUAUUGUCUCAGGCAGUAUCUCCCAACCCUUGCGUUCCCUAUAGCUCUGCCUGGGCCAACACAGGUCUGAAUUCUCAGGGAGCUCAGCCUUUCAGGAAUGGCCCUGCGGAAGCGGAUGCACACCUUCCUUUUCCUGCCUUGUAGGACUUAAAGCAAGAGGCUGGCCAGAGCCUGGCUCACCAGCUAGGGACCAACCAAGAGGAGGUCUGAGGUUCAAGGGCAAGGCUCUCUGGGGCUCCUCCAUUCUUUCCUGGUGUCUAUGGCAACCGAAUGUUAAGAAUUUAUUGUCAUGCUAAAAAUACGGAUAAUUGCUGCUAGGUUUUAAUUUGUCAGCUCUCAGACUUCAAAGCAGAGUGAUGUUUUUUGGUAAUGUUAGCUUACAGGGUGGCUUUUAACACUGAAGUAUUAAGUAGUUGCAGCCUGCUUGUGGCAUAUAAGGCCUUAGGGACCCAGGGCUAGCUCUUGUCUCCCUGGCUGCUGAAGUCUCAAUUGCUGUUCACCCCCACCCUUUCCCUAUCCAGUUUGCUCUCUGGCCCUGGGGGAAGGGAUGGAGCGGCAUUAUUUUAAGGUAGUUGCAGCUGGCUAUGGCCCAGUUUCUCUAUGGUUAUUGAUUUGGCUGCUAAUGGAUCCUGCGAAGCAAAGUUCGGAUGUGUGUGUGAGGCAGUGGGAGGCUCUGGACCAGGCCUUCUCUUGGCAGUCUUGAAUUCCUCCAACUAUAAAUACCCAUAGGCCUUGCCUACCUGCCGCAGCUGGGUCCCCCUCUCUGCUUGGUUUCCUUAUGUUCCCAUCCCUACCUACUUUGGUUUUCCUGCACUUUGGUUCCUCCUACCUCAGUUCUUGCAUUGUUCUUAGUUUCUUGUACAGCUUCUCUAGGGAAGAGACUGGUGGAAAUGAGGAGACAUCUAAAGCAGCAACUGUAGUCUUAACCCAUGUAAGGUGACAGCAUCUACUAAGUGACAGCUGGUGUCAUUGCAUGUGACUCAGUAACUUUUUGUUACUCAUCUCUCUUUUGGGGGUGGUUGGAGUGGAGAGAAGGGGGGCAAUAAACAGGCUGUGGGCUCAGGCUAAGGUAGAAGAAACCUCCCUCAACUUCUGCCUGAGCCUGGUGGUAGAAGUAAGUGACCCAGAUCCUUUCCCAGCAUGGUUAGAAUUUCCCCACCAGUCCUCAGUUCUAAAUGGUAUUUUCACCUGACUUUGGCUUAUAAUGUGUGCUUCUGUCAUCCCUAAGGCAGUGGCAUUUCCUCCCUGUUCUUUAAACUGCUGUUCUUGAGUUUGGGAUUUGUUCAGCUUGCUUUCUUCUUAGGUGCCAACAACCCCCAGAUGUGAGCUACCAGUGGAAGCAGGGGUUUGACCUAUCUAUGCACCUUUGUUGGCACUUAGGAUGGAGGAAAAGGAGUUAAAAACUUGGAGUGAAAUCUUGUCACAGCCCCUCCUUUCUCUAAGGGAAGGGUCUGGUGAGAACUGGGAAGCAAUUCUUGGGCAGUAAGAAGCAGCUAUCCUGCCUCCAACCAGUGAGGUGGAAGGUGGUGGAGUAAUGAUAAUUGUUGCAUUUCCACAGGAUUUGGUGUGGGGUAGGCCCUGCUUUAAUCACUGCAUUAUGUCUUGAAUUAUGUAUUCCUCACAAGGAUCCUCCAGGGUAGAUGCUUUUGUAUACUUUGUAAAUGAGGAAACUGAUAGCCAAAGAGGUUAAAAUAAGUUGCCCCACAAUUAUAAUCAGCAGGUUUGAGAUUCCAAUCCAGGCAGUCUGGCUUUAUAUGCCUUGAUCUUAAUCUUAACCCACCUUUCAGCACCAAGAAAAGCUAAGGCCUUAGAGUCACGGGGAAGUAUAACUUUCUCUCUAUACCCAGAAUUUUCAGUAUAUCCUGAAUUUUUCCACUUCCUUGUCUUCUCAUCUUGUUCUCUCUUCCCACGGGUCCUGGUCAAAAUCCUGUCCUUUAAGACUCUGAAGCUUUCCUCGUUGGAGUUGAUUUCCCUUUUCAGUAUUCUUUGUCCUAUUAGAGGUCUUAUUCUGUGUUUAUUUACAGUUCUUUUUAAAUUCUUCUAGGUGGUUAUAGUCUGAUGAGGCCAGCCUUUUUCAUUACUGCUUGCUUUGCACGUAUUACAUGUCUGUUGAGUUAAUUCCUUCUCAGCUUAGAGCCAGGCUUUCUGAAGGCCAUCCAUUCUAGCCUGCUUUCUCUAGCAGCCUCAGCCAUUCCUUCCUCACCAAUCCGAAAGAGGAGGUAGCUUCACUCUUUCUGGUGUUACCAUGGUAGUCCUUGAUGCUCUGUUUAAAGUGCUGCUUACCAGAGACAUGUUCCUAUGGCAACCAGGUGAAGUCAGUUGUCAUGAGCUGGAUGCAGGAAAGGAAUUUGGGUAUGAGAAACCGUGCAUCUGAAUCUUCUGGCUUCAAGUAUCCCUUCUCCUUUGUGACUUGUGCACUUCAUAUCCAGAACUCAUUUGCUCUCAGUGUGCUCUUGGUUGAGAGAGCUCUGUGAGAGAUGAAGCAGACCAACCAACUUAACUCAUGUGAAAGUGGAGGCAAGGAAGGACCUGAAUAAAGAUCACUUUUAAAAGUUGGAUGAGUUCUCUUAGCUGUCCCAGGUGAUCUGCUCUUAAGAGCCCAUAAGAGUUGGCUGCAAUUACAAGAGAGCCAUUAAGCAGUUAUUUUUGAGGGCAAUGGGAAGAUGGGUGAGGUACCUGAAGACUGGAAAGGGGCCAGUCAGUGCUGGAUUGCAGAAAGCGAAGACAAUGACCUUGGAAAUAAGAGAUUUGUCAAACUCUUGCCAGUGUUCUGCAAAGGAAGAGAGCUUCAGUCAGCUUUCAAGAAUCAUGAAGCUGACUUGUUCAGAAUGAAUGGUACUGAGAAUUAGCCUCCUCCUAGGCUUUCUUGAACUUCUGGGCCUAGGGGGACCUCCAUGCUGUAGCAGAAUAGUCAGGCUCUGGAGCAACACUGCACGGUUCAGAUCUUCUGUUACAAACUAGCUGAGUAAGGUUGGCUGGUACUUUACUUCUCUAAUGCAGACUCCUCAUCUAUAAGAAGAAAAUAAUAGUACCUAUCUCGGGGAUGUUGUGAGGAUUAAAUGAGAUGUGUAGAGGGCUUAGAACUUGUUAACUUGUCAUUCAUUACUAGUGCUGUCGUUAUUCCCAUCUCUGGAUGCCAACACACUUGCCUUUCUACCUGACCCCAUUCUCCUCACCAGCUUUAGAGAAUAUUCAAGAUUUAAACGGGGGAGGAGCGAGGGCCUGGCAAUGGUGAAAAUAAGCCUUAAGUGUUCCUGGGCAAAAGUCCCAGGCUUAUGAGGUCCUGGGUCACAUACAGCCAGCCUUGCUUUCAGGAAAACACAUCCCACUGGCUCCAGCUCUUUCUGGGUCUGACACUCUGUAUAAUCACAUUACAAUUAGUUGGCUUUGAAAAGUCAAGGUGAGCCCCCCAGAUACCUUCAGGGUAACUAGAGCCCUUUGCUUUGGCUAGUGAAAAAUCCCAGAGCAUUCCGUUAGAGCUCUUUGCUUAGUGCCCCUCCUAAUCCCCCUGAGCAUUCCUGUGGUACCUGCCAUUGUUGGGCUCCAGGGCCUAGCCCUACUCUGGCAAUUUCCUUUCAGAAUAAGUAAAUCAGCACAGGUCUUUUCCCUACAGACAAGUUAUAAUUUGAACAAAAAACAGAAAACUGCAGUAUAAUGUCACCACUUAGGCUUUAGUUGCCAAAUAUUCUUCCCAACCUUUCCCAAAACAACUAAUCCAAUAAUGGGUUACCUGUGAAUAGUAUGGGAGGCAUGUUGGACCUUUGGAAUCACAACUGUGAUUUGUACAUUCAGAGUGGUGCUGUGCUUUGAGAAGUUAGCAGACUGCCUGGGUGCCUGAACAAGGGACCAAGACACAGGUUGCAAAAGACAUUAUUUCCACUGGUCAUUUGUUUGUAUAAUGCUUGACAAAUCAUAAAGACGUUCGCAUUUUUACUUAGUCCUCAUGACUGUCCUCAAGAAAGGUGGUAUUAUCUUCAUUUUAUAGUUGGGAGAGCUGAUGUUCAGAAAGGCAGAGAGGUUGAGGAACUUUCUGAAUAGACCUCCAUUCAGGAAACAGUGGGCCUGUGUGCUAACUAAAAUGCUUGCAAGGCCCCACUGAAUUUGUAUUCACAUCUCAAGUUUACAAAGCUGCCAUGCUAUGGAGGCAUGACCUCAAGAUUCAAAUAGAUGGAAAGGGACCUUGAGCAUAUAUCCAUCAAAGAGCACCAAGAUGGUAAAGGACUAAACCAGGACACUCCUGCCUGAUUUUGUUGUCCCUUGACAACUUGGCUGCACCAUCCACCCACAUUUUGCUGCUUUUCAUACUGAAGGGACCUUACCUCCUAUGGUGGGCUGCCCUCCCAUUUCUCCUAUGCAUUUGCUCAUGUAGUUUCAGCACAAGGAGCUUUUUUCUUCUUCCACCUAUCUGCAGCCCUCAUAUAUUCUUGAGGGUGCAGUUCCUAAAGGAUGCCUUCCAAAUUUUCUGUUUCUUCAGAAUCUGUAGAGCCCAUAAUGCAGCUCCCAGUUAGCUGGACUGUGUGAUUCGCUACGGUUUUGGCCUUGACAGUGCUCUCUGGUACCAACUGGAGCUGUCUCCAGCUCAACUCUUAAGUUCCUUGAGGGCAGGGAUAAUGUCUGUCUGUGUUUCUCUUCCCCACAUGGGCCAAGACAGUGAUUGGCAUAGGGCAGUAUUUGAGGGAAACAACAGCCAUUUGUGGAUGAAAAAUAAAAAUGCCCAGGAAAAUUUUACUUAAGCCUUACGUGGUUUGGAACUAUGUUAGAUUAAUAAAAAGAUGAAUGUAUGGGAGGACUUUCUGAGCAUUUUGAGGGUUUAACCCAGAAGUUUAGUGACGUGCCCUUCCAUAACUCUGGCAGCCUUUUAGAAGAGAAGAGCCCCGGUACAGCCUCUAGAGAAGGUUAGAUGCAUCUGGGCAUAAAGACCCAACUGUAAGCAGAGGCUCAGAACAGAGGUCAAGACACAGGACUGGCCUCACCUCCGGCCCCUCAGGGGAGAGCACAUGCUCUCAGCCAGUGAGGAGGUCUUGUGGGCCAGAGGGAGUAGGGGUAGUAGGGGCGGGGCUGGUAAGGGAGCACAGACAGAUUCCAAAACAAAAUUGUAGCGGUUAAGAGGAGCACAUGGACAGAGGAGAUCUUAACCCAGCCCUGGCAGCUUGGGGCCCUUUGCCACCAGCCCAGAUCCAUCAGCCUGGCCCAGCUUUGCCUUGAUUGAGGGAAGGGGCAGAAUGGCCGGGUUCUCAAAAAAAAAAAAAAAAGAAUGGCUGGGUUCUCAAAGAAGACCCUUCCCCUCUCCAGUCCGGCGGGGAGCAUGCCUUCAGCUUCAGUCUGUUCUGAGCUCUUCCCUGUAGGCGUCUGGAGGGAACACACAGAUGGGUUGGGCUGAUGGGUCUGGCUGAUUUGGGAGAGGGAGGCUCAUGGUGUGUGGCUCCCCUCACGGGGGAGGUCCUACCAUCCUCCUCUUCAGUAUGCGUAUGCAUAUUUUAAGCUUCUGCCACAUGAAAAGGCACUGGGCCUUCUUGUUCCUCAUCCUCCUCUCUUGCCACAUUUGACGGUGGUGGUCUUCCUCCACAAUAAACCUCUUCUCUUGGCAGUAGCCACUAUAGGCUCAUUCCCAGUUCUUCCACUGCCUUUGUGGUGGCUGCAUCUCCACCUUCUUCACCUGCCUAUCCCCAGAACUCUCAUUUUGGUCCCUCUUCUUUCUCUGAAAUGCCAACGCUUUAAGUUACUUAGUUUUUGAACAGGUAAAAUAUGCCAUACUUUAAAAGGUACAAAAAUGGCAUACAAUGAAAAGUAAACCUACACAUACCCUCCACCCACCCAGUUCCCCUUCCUAGCAGCAAUCAGUUCUAUCCUGGUUGGUAAUUUGUUGGGUCACAGACCUCUUUGGAAAUCUGAUGAGAUGUGUGAACCCUACUCUCAGACAAAUGCAGAAACACAUCUGGUUGCACUUCAUUUCACAAGAAUCAAAGAUCUCUGAAACCCAUGUGUGGUUUGUGGCAAGCAUCCCAACCUAUAUUGUGCCUUUUCCCUUAGUAGUUCCCUUAGUAUAAUUUGUGGGUCCCUGUAUGAAAUGAAAAUGCAGGGCUCCUUGUUUGAAAAGUGUCAGGACAUCAGCAGCAUGUUAAAUAGCAUACACUGCGUCUCAUCCUCUGGCCCUUCUACUACCAUCUGUGUGAUCAUUAUUUUCUAUCUGUGUCUCUUGCCCUAACUUGUUCUAAAUUCCAAACCCAGCUGUUCAGGGAGCUACUGUAAAUCUCCAUAGGAUGUUUUAGCUGCUCAAAUUCAGAGUCUCUAAAAUGGAGCAAUUUACCCCCUGGGUCCUCUGCAUUCUAAGUCCUAGUUCUUUGCUAUCAUCCUACCACUUGCAACUUCUCCUUCUCUUUAUAUGCAGCCCCUAGUUGCCACUGGUUCUGACUGUCAAGCCCAUGCUGUCUCUCCUCUCCCACUGUGGUCUCCCUCAGGAUGGUCCUUCAUUACCCUCCAUAUUCAUUAUUGUGACUGUCCCUAAAUUGGGCUCCUCAGUCCUUCUCUGGGUUGCUUCAAUCCAUGUGCACUGCUCCCAGCCUCCUCUUCCCAAAGAACCAUCCUGAUCAUGUCACUUCCACACUCAAAGACCUUCAAUGACUCUCACUGCCUACAGUUGGGCACAAACUCCUUUGCCUGGCAUUUAAGGUCCUUUACAGUUUGGUUCCAAACCUCCUUUUCCAUGCUUCUCUCCUACCCCUCCUCUCCUGUCCCUGAGGUUUCAACCCAACUGUAGAACCAUCUGGUACCUCAAUGGGCCCAGGGUGUUUUCCUGCAUUUUACAGUUUGAACUGCCUCUGUUCAUGGCCCCCAGAGUUUAGAGCUGGCUUAUUCCAACAUAGCCAUGUAAUUUUUCUAACCCACUCACUACAGCCACUGCCCAUGGUCCUGCCAUCGUAUCCCUUGCAUUCUGUCCUCUUCUUCUUCUCUCAGGCCUUACUAGAAGGGAAACCUCACAUGCAAAGCUGGAUAAAAUCACCAUUAAGUAUCAAGCAGACAUGAGUGAAAUCCCAGCCCUGUUCCUUAUUGACCUCAGGAAAGUUUACUUAAAUGCUCU